UUAAAGAAAAUUAACCAAGUGCUGAGUGGAUCAAUUGGAGUCAGAAAACAAUUGCCAUCUCUAUUGAAUUGUCGUUCUCAAUGUGGAAAAACUGCCAAGUUCGAGGGCCCUGCCUCUGGAAAAAUCCCAACAACAACGAUUAAAGGUGGAUGGAAAGUUAUGAUACACCAACGCACACACACAUCUUAGGUAAGUUUAUCCCACCAUCUCCAUAAAUAAACUUUCUACUUGUUUGAUUGAAACAGCCAAUUCCUAAUCUAUAACCUCAGAAGGUCGCAAACUGCAUAUAUGGGCCUCCCAGCAUCUUCCUCAUCCUUGUGCCUCUCUACUAUUAUUCAUUUCUUGUGCUUCAACUUGCCAGCAGCCUCUUCCAUCCACAGCAACAAUGAGACAGAUCGACUUGCUUUGCUGGAAUUCAAGGCCAAAAUAAGUGAUGACCCUUUUGGGAUCAUGAGCUCAUGGAAUAGCACUCUUCACUUCUGCCGCUGGUAUGGUGUCACCUGUGGGCGUAGACACCAAAGAGUCACAAUCUUAGACUUACAGUCCCUCAAACUUUCAGGUUCCAUAUCACCACAUGUUGGUAAUUUGAGCUUCUUAAGGGAGUUGUACCUUGCAAACAAUAGCUUCAGCCAUGAUAUCCCUCCUCAGAUUGGCCAUUUACGCAGACUGCAAAUUUUGUCUCUUUCUAACAAUUCAAUUGAUGGUCAAAUUCCUCCCACCAUAUCUAACUGUUCAAACCUUGUUAUCUUUGAUUUGGCUAACAACAAUCUCGUCCGAGAAAUCCCUAUGGAGCUUGGUUCCUUACUGAAGCUCAAAGAGAUCUAUCUACAUGGCAAUAAUGUAAUAGGGACUCUCCCACCCUCUUUAGGGAAUUUGUCGUCCCUUCAGUUGCUUGCUGCAUAUCGAAAUCAUUUGAAUGGAGAUCUCCCAGAAACUUUAGGCCAAUUGAUCAGUCUACAAUCUUUAACAAUUUUUGAAAAUGGAUUUUCAGGUACCAUCCCUCCCUCUGUCUUCAAUCUUUCUUCGAUCACGGAAUUAGACGUGUCAUCUAAUCAAUUCCAAGGGAAUCUUCCCUUGAGCAUUGGAAACUCUCUUCCAAAUCUCCGAAUUUUUUCUAUUGGUGAUAACGAAUUCACUGGCACCAUUCCAACUUCAUUUUCUAACGCCUCAAAUCUAGGAUUUCUUUAUCUGCCCCUAAAUAAUCUCACCGGAAGUGUGCCUUCUCUUGGCAAGUUGCAUAGGCUUUUAGCAUUACAGAUUGGCGUCAACAAUUUAGGAAGUGGGAAAGCUGAUGACUUGAGAUUUCUUUCCACCUUAACUAACGCCACAGCUUUACGAAACAUCGGCAUAGGCUACAACAACUUUGGAGGCGAACUUCCUGAACACAUCGCCAACUUCUCAAAGGUGCUCCGGUUCUUUGUCAUACAGAACAAUCAGAUAUCUGGAAACAUCCCAAUUGGAAUAAAGUUCCUUGUUAACUUGGAAGUUUUCGCUGCAGACAGGAACAAACUUUCAGGUACCAUUCCAUCGGGCAUCGGACAGCUUCAAAAUGUAAAAUUACUUUACCUUGCAAUAAAUAAUUUAUCGGGAUAUAUUCCAUCAUCUCUGGGAAACCUGACAAAUUUACUUGAACUUUUUUUAUAUAACAAUAAUAUUCAAGGUACCAUCCCUUCAAGUCUAGGCAGUUGCCAAAAAUUGCUCGGACUAGAUUUAUCUACAAACAAUCUUAGUGGUCCCAUACCCCCACAAGUUAUUGGACUUUCCUCGUUGUCACAAGUUCUUUCUUUGUCUCUGAAUAAUUUGUCUUGUUCCCUUCCAAAAGAAGUAGAAAAUUUGAAAAAUCUAGGGAUCCUUGACCUUGCUGACAACAUGUUGUCAGGGGAGAUUCCCAGUGGCCUUGGCAGUUGUACAAGUCUAGAAUUGUUAUACUUGGGUGCCAACUCGUUCCAAGGGUCCAUUCCUUCCUCUUUCGGUUUAUUAAGAGGCAUUAGAGAGUUAAAUAUUUCUCAUAAUAAUUUGUCAGGCAUGAUUCCAGAGUUUUUAGAGGGCUUCAAAAUACAGCUUUUGGAUUUGUCCUAUAAUGAUUUUGAGGGAAUGGUACCAGUACAAGGAGUUUUCAAGAAUUCUAGUGCUACCUUUGUGGCAGGAAAUAAAAAUCUAUGUGGUGGCAUACCUGAUUUUGGGCUAUCAGUGUGCAAGGUUGAACCGUCAAAGAGGAGACCAAAUGCAAAAUUAAAGACCAUGAUUUCUGCAGUUUGUGUGGGUGUAGGCGUUGCACUUUUGCUUAUUUCUUUGCUUCUUUGCCACCAUUCAAGAAAAAGAAAAGGAGAAUCUGCAUCACUAUUUGAUGGGAAUUCACUAUUGAAGUUGUCUUAUCAAAGCCUGCUUAAAGCUACUAAUGGAUUCUCUUUAGAAAAUUUGAUUGGUACGGGUAGCUUUGGAUCUGUAUAUAAAGGGAUUCUUGAUCAAGAAGGAAUGGUAAUUGCAGUUAAGGUGCUUAACCUCAUGCGACGAGGAGCUUCAAAGAGCUUUGUAGCCGAAUGUGAAGCCUUGCGAAAUGUCAGGCAUCGAAAUCUUGUCAAAGUACUCACAGCGUGUGCAGGAAUUGAUUAUCAGGGCAAUGAUUUCAAAGCAUUGGUUUAUGAAUUUAUGGUUAAUGGGAGCUUAGAUGAUUGGUUGCAUCCAAUUCUUGGAUUAGAUGAGGUGCCAAGGACUUUAAAUGUUAUCCAAAGAUUGAAUAUUGCCAUCGAUGUUGCUUCUGCGCUUGAGUAUCUUCAUUAUCAUUGUGGAACACCAUUUGUUCAUUGUGAUCUAAAACCAAGAAAUGUCCUUCUCGACGAAAAAAUGACUGGACAUGUAGGUGAUUUUGGGUUGGUAAAGUUUCUUUCUACUAGGAUGCUUGGCCAUUCAACAAAUCAAUCUAGUUCUCUUGGAAUAAGGGGAACUAUCGGAUAUUGUCCUCCAGAGUAUGGUGUGGGCAAUGAAGUAUCAACACGUGGUGACACAUUUAGUUUUGGAAUACUCUUGUUGGAGAUGUUCACGGGAAAGAGGCCAACCGAUGACAUGUUCAAAGAGAAUUUGAGCCUUCACAGUUUUGUCAAAAGAUUUUUGCCGGAACAAGUAAAAGAGAUUAUAGAUCCCAAUCUUUUUGAAGCGCAACUCAAUGCACAUAGUAACUACAAUUUUAGGAAUAGCGGAAACGAUAUAUUCAUUGAAUGUUUGAUUUCAAUAUUAGAAAUUGGAAUCUCUUGUUCUACAGAAUCACCACAAGAGCGCAUGAAUAUAAGUGAUGUUGUUGCUCAGCUCUCUUCCAUUAGAAACAAACUCGUUGGAACUCAAUUACCAAGGGGGGGAGAGACUGUAAGUGCACUUCAAGUAGCAGGUAUAUAAUGCUAUUCAUUUGUUGAAAUAGAGAAUAAAACUUGUCAUAUGCAUGUAACAAAAUCUUCCCAUCCCUUGCUCAUAUGAUAAAAAAAUUUUGAAUGUUUUUUUGUAACAUCAGUUGUUUGCUUGCAAAUGGAUGCAAGAUUGGUUAAAAAAUCCCUUUUUUCCAUCUCAGGUACUCAAGAUUGAUGACUCUGAUGCGGAAUGCCUGUUGAUUACCAUGAAGCAUAACUUGUUAUACCUACUCUAUGUAAUCCUUAUAUAUGUUUGUAAUGCUGCAUCUUGCUUAGUUAGUACUGUGUUUCCUUCAUGCAUAAAGUGUUUUUCUUAUUUUAACUCUUUACACCCCCAAGAUGAGAUCUCAUUAAAAAAUAUUGCAGUAUCUCUCACGUUUAUAUGAGAUCCACCUCUACAAUUUCGAAUGGAACUCGUGUAUUUGUAAGCGUAGGAUGUACCAAACAGAUUCUCCUUCAAUUGCAUCUAUGAUAAAACUUCAAGCAUGUGUGUUUUUCAAAUAUGUGAAUGAUACCCUCCUCACUCUACACAAAAAUCAACUAUAAUAAUGAUACACACCAAUCAACUGUAACCCAACUUCUUGCAAGUGUAGUCAAACAAAGACUGGAAAAGACUUACAGAUGAUUCCUCUUCCGGCAACCUUAGGUAACGAGCAACUUUCAUAAAUCCGGCAAGGUGCGGACGCUGAUAAUCUUCCUUCACUUCUA
This 4106-nucleotide unclassified non-coding RNA is filed under the name Hevea brasiliensis (rubber tree). The record is from RNAcentral. Lineage: Eukaryota; Viridiplantae; Streptophyta; Magnoliopsida; Malpighiales; Euphorbiaceae.